AUGAUGCACAAAGAAGAUGCUUCUGGCCUACUACAUGAACUCGUUCUUGCCGACUUUAUCCUCUGUUUAUUUGCUCCGCGAGGUUGUUUGUUGGUUCGUGGGACGUCUGUGUCGUUAACCAACAAGGCGUUGUUAUCAUUACUUCCUCUCCCCUCGCUGGCUCGUCAUCUGCUUGCUAUCAAGGUUUGUGCUUCCUGUUUGACCUUUGUCUUCUCAUACUGCUGUAGUACUACCAAGGCACGGUUGAUCUUCUAUGGUCUUCGAAGCAUGACUUUAACUACUGAUACAUACACAACUAGAUGGAUUGGACAUUUAUGA
RNAcentral lists this ribosomal RNA (318 nucleotides) under Triticum aestivum (bread wheat). Its description in RNAcentral is "partial small subunit ribosomal RNA". The record is from RNAcentral. Lineage: Eukaryota; Viridiplantae; Streptophyta; Magnoliopsida; Poales; Poaceae.